UCUCAGCUACAUCGGUGUAAAUCCAGGGCAAUUCUACUGAGGUUCACACCAGAGUAACUGGGAUC
This 65-nucleotide microRNA precursor is filed under the name Gallus gallus (chicken). RNAcentral describes it as "Gga-Mir-1467_pre stem-loop". Lineage: Eukaryota; Metazoa; Chordata; Aves; Galliformes; Phasianidae. The record is from RNAcentral.